RNAcentral lists this ribosomal RNA (240 nucleotides) under uncultured bacterium. RNAcentral's name for it is "partial 16S ribosomal RNA". It matches the Rfam family "Bacterial small subunit ribosomal RNA", at positions 1260 to 1500 of the family's 1533-position model. The record is from RNAcentral.
AGGCGGAGCAAAACACAAAACACAGUCUCAGUUCAGAUUGUAGGCUGAAACUCGCCUAUAUGAAGUCGGAAUUGCUAGUAAUCGCGGAUCAGCAUGCCGCGGUGAAUACGUUCCCGGGCCUUGUACACACCGCCCGUCACACCAUGAGAGUCGAUAACACCCGAAGCCUGUAGUCUAACAGCAAUGAGGACGCAGUCGAAGGUGGGAUUGAUAAUUAGGGUGAAGUCGUAACAAGGUAGC